This 78-nucleotide microRNA precursor is filed under the name Schistosoma margrebowiei. RNAcentral describes it as "mir-3492 microRNA precursor family". It matches the Rfam family "mir-3492 microRNA precursor family". Lineage: Eukaryota; Metazoa; Platyhelminthes; Trematoda; Strigeidida; Schistosomatidae. The record is from Rfam by way of RNAcentral.
AGCCUUCUGUAUCCGUGCUGAGAUUUCGUUACACAUCAAACCACAAAAGCUGGUGACACUUCCAAGAUAAGUGAAGCA